GAUGAACGCUGGCGGCGUGCCUAAUACAUGCAAGUCGAACGCAUUGAGAGAAGUGCUUGCACUUUUCAAUUUGAGAGGCGAACGGGUGAGUAACACGUGGGCAACCUACCUGAUAGCGGGGGAUAACGAGUGGAAACAUUCGCUAAUACCGCAUAACAAUAGAGAAGGCAUCUUCUUUAUUUAAAAGGCGCUUUCAAGCGUCACUAUCAGAUGGGCCCGCGGUGCAUUAGUUAGUUGGUGGGGUGAAGGCCUACCAAGACGAUGAUGCAUAGCCGAGUUGAGAGACUGAUCGGCCCCAUUGGGACUGAGACACGGCCCAAACUCCUACGGGAGGCUGCAGUAGGGAAUCUUCCACAAUGGACGAAAGUCUGAUGGAGCAACGCCGCGUGUGUGAUGAAGGCUUUCGGGUCGUAAAGCACUGUUGUAUGGGAAGAAAUGCUAGGCUAGGAAAUGAGCUUAGUUUGACGGUACCAUACCAGAAAGGGACGGCUAAAUACGUGCCAGCCGCCGCAGUAA
RNAcentral lists this ribosomal RNA (516 nucleotides) under uncultured bacterium. RNAcentral describes it as "partial 16S ribosomal RNA". It matches the Rfam family "Bacterial small subunit ribosomal RNA", at positions 28 to 523 of the family's 1533-position model. The record is from RNAcentral.